Molecule: unclassified non-coding RNA, 406 nt
Filed under: soil metagenome
Description: partial contains 5.8S ribosomal RNA, internal transcribed spacer 2, and large subunit ribosomal RNA
Rfam family: 5.8S ribosomal RNA (bases 1-121)
Source: RNAcentral
GAUGAAGAACGUAGCGAAAUGCGAUAAGUAAUGUGAAUUGCAGAAUUCAGUGAAUCAUCGAAUCUUUGAACGCACCUUGCGCCCUUUGGCUAUUCCGAAGGGCAUGCCUGUUUGAGUAUCAUGAACACCUCAACUCUCAUGGCUUGCCAUGAUGAGCUUGGACUAUGGGGGUCUUGCUGGCCUGUGGUCGGCUCCUCUCAAAUGAAUCAGCUUGCCGGUGUUUGGUGGCGUCACAGGUGUGAUAACUAUCUACGCUUGUGGUGUUUUCCACCAGGUAACCUUCAGCAAUGGAGGUUCGCUGGGGCUCAUAAAAGUCUCACCUCGGUGAGGACAGCUCUUUUUGAACGUUUGAUCUCAAAUCAGGUAGGACUACCCGCUGAACUUAAGCAUAUCAAUAAGCGGAGGA